Molecule: ribosomal RNA, 2925 nt
Filed under: Escherichia coli
Lineage: Bacteria; Pseudomonadati; Pseudomonadota; Gammaproteobacteria; Enterobacterales; Enterobacteriaceae
Description: 23S ribosomal RNA
Rfam family: Bacterial large subunit ribosomal RNA
Source: RNAcentral
GGGUUGUGAGGUUAAGCGACUAAGCGUACACGGUGGAUGCCCUGGCAGUCAGAGGCGAUGAAGGACGUGCUAAUCUGCGAUAAGCGUCGGUAAGGUGAUAUGAACCGUUAUAACCGGCGAUUUCCGAAUGGGGAAACCCAGUGUGAUUCGUCACACUAUCAUUAACUGAAUCCAUAGGUUAAUGAGGCGAACCGGGGGAACUGAAACAUCUAAGUACCCCGAGGAAAAGAAAUCAACCGAGAUUCCCCCAGUAGCGGCGAGCGAACGGGGAGCAGCCCAGAGCCUGAAUCAGUGUGUGUGUUAGUGGAAGCGUCUGGAAAGGCGCGCGAUACAGGGUGACAGCCCCGUACACAAAAAUGCACAUGCUGUGAGCUCGAUGAGUAGGGCGGGACACGUGGUAUCCUGUCUGAAUAUGGGGGGACCAUCCUCCAAGGCUAAAUACUCCUGACUGACCGAUAGUGAACCAGUACCGUGAGGGAAAGGCGAAAAGAACCCCGGCGAGGGGAGUGAAAAAGAACCUGAAACCGUGUACGUACAAGCAGUGGGAGCACGCUUCGGCGUGUGACUGCGUACCUUUUGUAUAAUGGGUCAGCGACUUAUAUUCUGUAGCAAGGUUAACCGAAUAGGGGAGCCGAAGGGAAACCGAGUCUUAACUGGGCGUUAAGUUGCAGGGUAUAGACCCGAAACCCGGUGAUCUAGCCAUGGGCAGGUUGAAGGUUGGGUAACACUAACUGGAGGACCGAACCGACUAAUGUUGAAAAAUUAGCGGAUGACUUGUGGCUGGGGGUGAAAGGCCAAUCAAACCGGGAGAUAGCUGGUUCUCCCCGAAAGCUAUUUAGGUAGCGCCUCGUGAAUUCAUCUCCGGGGGUAGAGCACUGUUUCGGCAAGGGGGUCAUCCCGACUUACCAACCCGAUGCAAACUGCGAAUACCGGAGAAUGUUAUCACGGGAGACACACGGCGGGUGCUAACGUCCGUCGUGAAGAGGGAAACAACCCAGACCGCCAGCUAAGGUCCCAAAGUCAUGGUUAAGUGGGAAACGAUGUGGGAAGGCCCAGACAGCCAGGAUGUUGGCUUAGAAGCAGCCAUCAUUUAAAGAAAGCGUAAUAGCUCACUGGUCGAGUCGGCCUGCGCGGAAGAUGUAACGGGGCUAAACCAUGCACCGAAGCUGCGGCAGCGACGCUGAUGCGUUGUUGGGUAGGGGAGCGUUCUGUAAGCCUGCGAAGGUGUGCUGUGAGGCAUGCUGGAGGUAUCAGAAGUGCGAAUGCUGACAUAAGUAACGAUAAAGCGGGUGAAAAGCCCGCUCGCCGGAAGACCAAGGGUUCCUGUCCAACGUUAAUCGGGGCAGGGUGAGUCGACCCCUAAGGCGAGGCCGAAAGGCGUAGUCGAUGGGAAACAGGUUAAUAUUCCUGUACUUGGUGUUACUGCGAAGGGGGGACGGAGAAGGCUAUGUUGGCCGGGCGACGGUUGUCCCGGUUUAAGCGUGUAGGCUGGUUUUCCAGGCAAAUCCGGAAAAUCAAGGCUGAGGCGUGAUGACGAGGCACUACGGUGCUGAAGCAACAAAUGCCCUGCUUCCAGGAAAAGCCUCUAAGCAUCAGGUAACAUCAAAUCGUACCCCAAACCGACACAGGUGGUCAGGUAGAGAAUACCAAGGCGCUUGAGAGAACUCGGGUGAAGGAACUAGGCAAAAUGGUGCCGUAACUUCGGGAGAAGGCACGCUGAUAUGUAGGUGAAGUCCCUCGCGGAUGGAGCUGAAAUCAGUCGAAGAUACCAGCUGGCUGCAACUGUUUAUUAAAAACACAGCACUGUGCAAACACGAAAGUGGACGUAUACGGUGUGACGCCUGCCCGGUGCCGGAAGGUUAAUUGAUGGGGUCAGCGCAAGCGAAGCUCUUGAUCGAAGCCCCGGUAAACGGCGGCCGUAACUAUAACGGUCCUAAGGUAGCGAAAUUCCUUGUCGGGUAAGUUCCGACCUGCACGAAUGGCGUAAUGAUGGCCAGGCUGUCUCCACCCGAGACUCAGUGAAAUUGAACUCGCUGUGAAGAUGCAGUGUACCCGCGGCAAGACGGAAAGACCCCGUGAACCUUUACUAUAGCUUGACACUGAACAUUGAGCCUUGAUGUGUAGGAUAGGUGGGAGGCUUGGAAGUGUGGACGCCAGUCUGCAUGGAGCCGACCUUGAAAUACCACCCUUUAAUGUUUGAUGUUCUAACGUUGACCCGUAAUCCGGGUUGCGGACAGUGUCUGGUGGGUAGUUUGACUGGGGCGGUCUCCUCCUAAAGAGUAACGGAGGAGCACGAAGGUUGGCUAAUCCUGGUCGGACAUCAGGAGGUUAGUGCAAUGGCAUAAGCCAGCUUGACUGCGAGCGUGACGGCGCGAGCAGGUGCGAAAGCAGGUCAUAGUGAUCCGGUGGUUCUGAAUGGAAGGGCCAUCGCUCAACGGAUAAAAGGUACUCCGGGGAUAACAGGCUGAUACCGCCCAAGAGUUCAUAUCGACGGCGGUGUUUGGCACCUCGAUGUCGGCUCAUCACAUCCUGGGGCUGAAGUAGGUCCCAAGGGUAUGGCUGUUCGCCAUUUAAAGUGGUACGCGAGCUGGGUUUAGAACGUCGUGAGACAGUUCGGUCCCUAUCUGCCGUGGGCGCUGGAGAACUGAGGGGGGCUGCUCCUAGUACGAGAGGACCGGAGUGGACGCAUCACUGGUGUUCGGGUUGUCAUGCCAAUGGCACUGCCCGGUAGCUAAAUGCGGAAGAGAUAAGUGCUGAAAGCAUCUAAGCACGAAACUUGCCCCGAGAUGAGUUCUCCCUGACUCCUUGAGAGUCCUGAAGGAACGUUGAAGACGACGACGUUGAUAGGCCGGGUGUGUAAGCGCAGCGAUGCGUUGAGCUAACCGGUACUAAUGAACCGUGAGGCUUAACCUUACAACGCCGAAG